Molecule: transfer RNA, 74 nt
Filed under: Vermamoeba vermiformis
Lineage: Eukaryota; Tubulinea; Echinamoebida; Vermamoebidae
Also listed under: 1 other name
Description: tRNA-Asn
Rfam family: tRNA
About the family: Transfer RNA (tRNA) molecules are approximately 80 nucleotides in length. Their secondary structure includes four short double-helical elements and three loops (D, anti-codon, and T loops).
Source: RNAcentral
GCUCCGGUAGCUCAAUUGGCUAGAGCGCUCGGCUGUUAACCGUGAGGUUAUUGGUUCAAUCCCAAUCCGGAGCG